CUACGGGACGCUGCAGUGAGGAAUAUUGGUCAAUGGAGGCAACUCUGAACCAGCCAUGCCGCGUGAAGGAUGACGGCCCUAUGGGUUGUAAACUUCUUUUGAAUAGGAAGAAACUUAUCUACGUGUAGAUAACUGACGGUACUAUUAGAAUAAGGAUCGGCUAACUCCGUGCCAGCAGCCGCGGUAAUACGGAGGAUCCAAGCAUUAUCCGGAUUCAUUGGGUUUAAAGGGUCCGUAGGCGGGUCUUUAAGUCAGUGGUGAAAGCCGACAGCUCAACUGUCGAACUGCCAUUGAUACUGGAGACCUUGAGUACAAAUGAAGUAGGCGGAAUGAGUCAUGUAGCGGUGAAAUGCAUAGAUAUGACUCAGAACACCGAUUGCGAAGGCAGCUUACUAACAUGUAACUGACGCUGAGGGACGAAAGCGUGGGGAGCGAACAGGAUUAGAUACCCCCGUAGUC
RNAcentral lists this ribosomal RNA (459 nucleotides) under uncultured bacterium. RNAcentral describes it as "partial 16S ribosomal RNA". It matches the Rfam family "Bacterial small subunit ribosomal RNA", at positions 339 to 795 of the family's 1533-position model. The record is from RNAcentral.